UACGGGGGGGGCAAGCGUUGUUCGGAAUUACUGGGCGUAAAGGGCUCGUAGGCGGCCAACUAAGUCGGAUGUGAAAUCCCCAGGCUCAACCUGGGAACUGCAUCCGAUACUGGAUGGCUUGAAUCCGGGAGAGGGAUGCAGAAUUCCAGGUGUAGCGGUGAAAUGCGUAGAUAUCUGGAGGAAUACCGGUGGCGAAGGCGGCAUCCUGGGCCGGCAUUGACGCUGAGGAGCGAAAGCCAGGGGAGCAAACGGG
Molecule: ribosomal RNA, 253 nt
Filed under: uncultured bacterium
Lineage: Bacteria
Description: partial 16S ribosomal RNA
Rfam family: Bacterial small subunit ribosomal RNA
Source: RNAcentral